CUACGGGGCGCAGCAGUGGGGAAUAUUGCACAAUGGGCGAAAGCCUGAUGCAGCAACGCCGUGUGAGUGAUGAAGGUCUUCGGAUCGUAAAACUCUGUCCUAUGGGAAGAAACAAAUGACGGUACCAUGGGAGGAAGCCCCGGCUAACUACGUGCCAGCAGCCGCGGUAAUACGUAGGGGGCAAGCGUUAUCCGGAAUCACUGGGCGUAAAGGGUGCGUAGGCGGCUUGUCAAGCCAGAGGUGAAAGGCAUUGGCUCAACCAAUGUAAGCCUUUGGAACUGACGAACUUGAGUGCAGGAGAGGUAAGUGGAAUUCCUAGUGUAGAGGUGAAAUUCGUAGAUAUUAGGAGGAACACCAGUGGCGAAGGCGACUUACUGGACUGUAACUGACGCUGAUGCACGAAAGCGUGGGUAGCGAACAGGAUUAGAUACCCGUGUAGUC
This 441-nucleotide ribosomal RNA is filed under the name uncultured bacterium. Its description in RNAcentral is "partial 16S ribosomal RNA". It matches the Rfam family "Bacterial small subunit ribosomal RNA", at positions 339 to 795 of the family's 1533-position model. The record is from RNAcentral.